RNAcentral lists this transfer RNA (69 nucleotides) under Holothuria fuscogilva. RNAcentral's name for it is "tRNA-Asp". It matches the Rfam family "tRNA". Rfam says of the family: Transfer RNA (tRNA) molecules are approximately 80 nucleotides in length. Their secondary structure includes four short double-helical elements and three loops (D, anti-codon, and T loops). The record is from RNAcentral. Lineage: Eukaryota; Metazoa; Echinodermata; Holothuroidea; Aspidochirotida; Holothuriidae.
AAAACUUUAGUUAAUUUAUAAUGUCGGCCUGUCAGACCGAUGUAGUGGGUUAGACCCCCACAGGUUUUG